RNAcentral lists this ribosomal RNA (385 nucleotides) under Zosimus hawaiiensis. RNAcentral's name for it is "partial 12S ribosomal RNA". Lineage: Eukaryota; Metazoa; Arthropoda; Malacostraca; Decapoda; Xanthidae. The record is from RNAcentral.
UUAGAUACCCUAUUAUACUAAUAAAAACCUAAAUUAUUAAUAGAUAUUGUCUUUAAACUUGAAGAAUUUGGCGGUGAUUUAAUCUUAUUAGAGGAAUCUGUUUUUGAAUCGAUACACCACGUUAAAUUUCACUCAUUUUAUUUAGUCUAUAUACCGUCAUUAGCAGAUAAUUUUAAAAGAAAUUGAAUUAUUAAAGUUUAUUUAUAAAUAGAUUAAAUUAGAUCAAGGUGUAGCUUAUAAAUGAGUUAAAAUGGAUUACAAUAAAAUAUAUUUACUACGGAGUAGAAGAGUAAGAAAGUUCUAUAAAGGAGGAUUUAAUUGUAAUGAAAGUUUAACAAGCUUGUAAGAUAUAGGCACUAAAUCAUGUACAUAUCGCCCGUCGCUA